This is a long non-coding RNA of Daktulosphaira vitifoliae (grape phylloxera), 167 nucleotides long. RefSeq lists it as uncharacterized. The transcript has 2 exons. The record is from RefSeq and is a predicted model, not a curated record. Lineage: Eukaryota; Metazoa; Arthropoda; Insecta; Hemiptera; Phylloxeridae.
CAAUAUGCGUCGUGGGUUAUACGCGUUCAAAUGAUUAUGGCGUAACUAUGCAAAGUAAAUAUUUAUUUUCACUAUUAAUCACUAGGCAUAUUUAUAUUAAAAAAAAAAACAGCUGUUUAAAGGCCAUCUAUUAGUACAAAAAUAUUUAAAAGUUAAAGAAGUGUUAA